AUAAAGUAUAGUUAGUGGCAGACGGGUGAGUAAUGCAUAGGAAUCUACCUAGUAGUAUGGGAUAGCCACUAGAAAUGGUGGGUAAUACUGUAUAAUCCCUGCGGGGGAAAGAUUUAUCGCUAUUAGAUGAGCCUAUGUUAGAUUAGCUAGUUGGUAGGGUAAAGGCCUACCAAGGCGAUGAUCUAUAGCUGGUCUGAGAGGAUGAUCAGCCACACUGGAACUGAGAUACGGUCCAGACUCCUACGGGAGGCAGCAGUGGGGAAUAUUGGACAAUGGGCGCAAGCCUGAUCCAGCUAUGCCGCGUGAGUGAGGAAGGCCUUAGGGUUGUAAAACUCUUUCAGUAGGGAAGAUAAUGACGGUACCUACAGAAGAAGUCCCGGCAAACUCCGUGCCAGCAGCCGCGGUAAUACGGAGGGGGCAAGCGUUGUUCGGAAUUAUUGGGCGUAAAGGGCAUGUAGGCGGUUCGGUAAGUUAAAGGUGAAAUGCCAGGGCUUAAC
RNAcentral lists this ribosomal RNA (497 nucleotides) under Anaplasma phagocytophilum. RNAcentral's name for it is "bacterial SSU rRNA". It matches the Rfam family "Bacterial small subunit ribosomal RNA", at positions 81 to 613 of the family's 1533-position model. Lineage: Bacteria; Pseudomonadati; Pseudomonadota; Alphaproteobacteria; Rickettsiales; Anaplasmataceae. The record is from RNAcentral.